CUGAGCACAGGCCAGGGGAGCAAGCCAGUAAACAGCAGUCCUCUGUGGUCUGUGCUUCAGCUCCUGCCUCCAGUUUCUUGCCUGAGUUUCUGCCUUGAUUUCUCUCAGUGAUGAACUGUGACCUGGGAGAUGUGAGCUAAUUAAGACCAUUUCCUCUUCAAGUUGUUUGGUCAGUGUUUUUAUCACAGCAAUAGAAAGUAACUAGCACAGGGCACUGUCUAAUCACCUCUAUAAGGCUGUCAAAGAGAAAGAGUAUUUUGGAGGUAGUGGGCCUGGGCUGGCCUUUGAGGAAAUGCCCCUGACUUAUGGCUCUGCUGAUUCUAUACAAAUUUAGUUGCCCUGUAGGAGAUAUUUUAAGCUGAUAGGAUCAUUUCCAUGUUGACUGUUCAUCCCUCAUUAAUUGGGGGAAUUUUCACAGAUGUCAGCUUGAAGAAAGAUGCAAUAACACUGGACACCAAAUCUGGAAGACAGCCCAGGGGGUGGAGACACUCACCACAAUCUCCUCCUGCCUGUCGUAGUGGUGGCUGUGGGUGGCAGCAUAGCAGAGAGCGAGAGAGGUGCUGUGAGUGACGGAUUGCCAGACCUUGCCCCAAUUGCCUCAGUCCACGUGGAGCACCUUGUCGGUGUGGUGAGCAUGUAGAGGGAAAUCCCUUGACUCUGGGGACUUGAAAGGCUGGUUCUGUCACACCCAGCAGAGCCAUAGGAUGCCAUGGACAGGAAGAUUGGCUUUCUGUCCUCUCAACCAAGUCACUUGUAGCCAGGCUCUGUGCCUUCCUGCCUUUUCCUGGGCAAUGUUUUAGAUCCAAUAGCCUAAAGUUUUCUAUGCCACAUGUCAUUCUCUUACCAACGUUAAUAAAUUUUGAAACGUGUCCUGCUGCAUGUUCUUGGUUUUCUUUUGUUUCUUUGUUUACUGAUGCCUCUGUGCACCACAAGGUUAGAUACAGAGAAGACAGGUCAUAGAGACAAAUCUUCCUUCCAGCUCAACUCACUGAAGCCCAGCUGAGGACUAUGAGAUGGUGGGUAGGGACUUAGAACAGAGGCUGAACCAUCUCAUGGGUGGUUUCGGGCUGGGGCUUAAAAGGGAAGGGGGCUGUGAGAAUUGAGGUGGUCAAGGACCAUUUGGGCUGGGGUUUUGCAAGAGAGGAGGAGGAUGGGCUGUACAGAGGUGGAGUCAGGGACUGAAGGCUUGGAGGAAAGCAUUGAGUUCUGGCUGGUGAAAGGGAACCAGGAUCUGAAGGAGGUGCUUUGAGCAGAGGUGGGAGUGGGAUGUAUGGAGAACACCUGCUCACACAGAACUCUGGGACACAGUAGGAAAAUGCCAGGUAUGGAAGUUUCUGCUACACCGACACAUAUGUGGUCUUUUGAGAUGGUGUUCAGUAUUAGUCAUGGUAAAGAUGUGUUCAGCAUGCAUGUGUGACACCACCUGUGACCGUGUGCCUCUCUGUCCUCAUUUUUCAGGUACUGUACAGAGAAACUCUCCCCUCUCCCUAAGGCCAUAAUACAAAGGGGAGAGUAGACUUGUCCAUUCCUUCUGUUGAUUUUGCCCACCCAAACUGGGGCUGAGGUGGAAACAUGGGCCAGGCCCUCAGAGGUCAGCAGGCCUUGCAGGAGGCCUUCUUGGGCUGAGACAUCCACUCUGCUAGCCAUUUCUGGCAGCGGUCUUUGUGUCUGCCUUGCUUCUGAUCUUAAUUCCUCCCAAGGACCAUCUCACAUCUCUCAGUUGCUUCCUGGGAGAUC
Nannospalax galili (Upper Galilee mountains blind mole rat) is the source of this 1737-nucleotide long non-coding RNA. Lineage: Eukaryota; Metazoa; Chordata; Mammalia; Rodentia; Spalacidae. The record is from Ensembl.